This is a long non-coding RNA of Rana temporaria (common frog), 1192 nucleotides long. RefSeq lists it as uncharacterized. The transcript is spliced from 3 exons. The record is from RefSeq and is a predicted model, not a curated record. Lineage: Eukaryota; Metazoa; Chordata; Amphibia; Anura; Ranidae.
CAGAGUCUUUAGACAUAUCCAAUUUAUUUUUUGCAAACCUACUUUCAAAUAUCAUUGGCCGUGUUUAAUUUUGAGAUUAGGUGGGAUGGAAAAAAAGACAGACCCAGGGAGGAUUGAACCCACAAAUUCUGCACCGUAGUACAGUUGGCUAACCACUCAACCAUUCAAGUCUGCUGAUACAUAUGGAGCAAUUUUUAGGAUAAGUGAUUGUUUAACACAGUGGAAUUCUCGUAGUAGACUUUAACAGGGAGAUGGAAUUUAGACAUAUCAAAUGUAUUUUUUGCAAACCUACUUUUAAAUAUCAUUGGCCGUGUGCCCAUAGAGAAUAGUGGAAUGCCCAUAGAGAAUAAUGGUAAAAUUAAAAAUGAAUUUGUGACAGAGUCUUUAGACAUAUCCAAUUUAUUUUUUGCAAACCUACUUUCAAAUAUCAUUGGCCGUGUUUAAUUUUGAGAUUAGGUGGGAUUAUUAUUUGUUUUUUUAGGCCAUAAAAAGGUGGAUGACAGAAGGGAAUGUCUAUAGAUUAUAAUGGGAAGAAAAAUAUUCCCAUAUUCCCAAUUAGGUAUUUUUUAAAACAUUGUCCGUGUGCCCAUAGAGAAUAGUGGAAUGCCCAUAGAGAAUAAUGGUAAAAUUAAAAAUGAAUUUGCGACAGAGUCUUUAGACAUAUCCAAUUUAUUUUUUGCAAACCUACUUUCAAAUAUCAUUGGCCGUGUUUAAUUUUGAGAUUAGGUGGGAUUAUUAUUUGUUUUUUUAGGCCAUAAAAAGGUGGAUGACAGAAGGGAAUGUCUAUAGAUUAUAAUGGGAAGAAAAAUAUUCCCAUAUUCCCAAUUAGGUAUUUUUUAAAACAUUGUCCGUGUGCCCAUAGAGAAUAGUGGAAUGCCCAUAGAGAAUAAUGGUAAAAUUAAAAAUGAAUUUGCGACAGAGUCUUUAGACAUAUCCAAUUUAUUUUUUGCAAACCUACUUUCAAAUAUCAUUGGCCGUGUUUAAUUUUGAGAUUAGGUGGGAUGGAAAAAAAGACAGACCCAGGGAGGAUUGAACCCACAACUUUCUGCACCGUAGUACAGUUGGCUAACCGCUCAACCAUUCAAGUCUGCUGAUACAUAUUGAGCAAUUUUUAGGAUAAGUGAUUGUGUAACACAGUGGAAUUCUCGUAGUAGACUUUAACAGGGAGAUGGAAUUUAGACAUAUCAAAUGU